CCUACGGGAGGCAGCAGUGAGGAAUAUUGGUCAAUGGCCGAGAGGCUGAACCAGCCAAGUCGCGUGAGGGAAGACGGCCCUACGGGUUGUAAACCUCUUUUGUCGGGGAGCAAAGCGAGUCACGUGUGACUCAUUGAGAGUACCCGACGAAAAAGCAUCGGCUAACUCCGUGCCAGCAGCCGCGGUAAUACGGAGGAUGCGAGCGUUAUCCGGAUUUAUUGGGUUUAAAGGGUGCGCAGGCGGAGGUGCAAGUCAGCGGUCAAAUUGCGGGGCUCAACCCCGUACUGCCGUUGAAACUGCAGCCCUUGAGUGCGCGAGAAGUAUGCGGAAUGCGUGGUGUAGCGGUGAAAUGCAUAGAUAUCACGCAGAACUCCGAUUGCGAAGGCAGCAUACCGGCGCGCAACUGACGCUCAUGCACGAAAGCGUGGGUAUCGAACAGGAUUAGAUACCCCAGUAGUC
This 459-nucleotide ribosomal RNA is filed under the name uncultured bacterium. RNAcentral's name for it is "partial 16S ribosomal RNA". It matches the Rfam family "Bacterial small subunit ribosomal RNA", at positions 338 to 795 of the family's 1533-position model. The record is from RNAcentral.